CUGCAUUAUUGUAGAGCGCUUAGAGAC
RNAcentral lists this microRNA (27 nucleotides) under Strongylocentrotus purpuratus (purple sea urchin). RNAcentral describes it as "spu-miR-5992". Lineage: Eukaryota; Metazoa; Echinodermata; Echinoidea; Camarodonta; Strongylocentrotidae. The record is from miRBase by way of RNAcentral.